RNAcentral lists this long non-coding RNA (1252 nucleotides) under Drosophila guanche. The record is from RNAcentral. Lineage: Eukaryota; Metazoa; Arthropoda; Insecta; Diptera; Drosophilidae.
CUUAAUUAGAAGAGUUAACGGAACACUAACCAUGGCCAUUCUGGCCAAUUUUAUUUAUAGUUGCAGGCCUAGUCUACAAUUUAGACUGUCAGCCAAGGUCACUGGGAAACAGCUGUUUGGAAAGUCGGAAUUUCCCAGCCAACCAACGUGAGAGAAAGAGCAAAUAGCAAGCAGUCUGAGCGUGAUCAUAUCAAAGACAAACAGCGCUUAAAAAUAGAUCAAAGACAAUCUUAGUGAUUAAAUAUUUGUAUUGCUAAAUUAGGUUCCAAGUAGUCCACUAAAUGCCAGAAAAUGUUAGUCACGAAGAGGUGGAAAAUAAUAUUAUUUUGUUUGUAUGGAAAUUAUUCUUGUACGCUAAAUUGCAAUCUACAACAACGGACAACUUCUUCUAUAUAUUAUUGCUAGAAAUUAAUUUAUUUUGCUUUCCAAAGUCCAAAGAAAUCUUUAUUAUUUUGGCACGAAAAACAAUUAUCUUUUAUUCUGCCAAAAAAGACGAUAAUAUUUGCAGAGCAAACACGCGUCAGUGUAGGGGUUGGGUUAUGUUAAGUUCUUAGGAUCCUCCCAAGCUAUUGCACAUGUUUGAAGUCUGUUUGCAUUUGGUCAAGUCCGUGCCACACCACGCUGUGAACAGUUGAAUAUUCAUUUUUAGUUGCAGAGUACAAAUGAAGGUAAAUAAUUAUAAAACUUACUCAAACGAUUGACACAACCACUGACACCCAUGACGCAGCUAUUGCUGAAUUUGCAGCGCACCAAUUGACCAUUUUUGCGGGUCUCUCCGCACACUGGACUGUAGACUGCAGGACAGAUGCUGGGACAUUGCUCCCUUGAUUGUGCUUCCGAAAAGGUACAGACCAGGAGCAGUCCAAGGAGCAGCAGAAACGACUUCAUUGCUGUAAUGUAGGAGGAGAUCUUCUGGUUGAUAACAGUCAGUGCGAGGAGCUUUUAUAGGGCAGCCUCUGAGGGAUGAGCUAUAAUUGUACACAGUUCAACGCACGCUGAAACAGCUGUUAAAAGUUCAUUUUUAAUUAAGAUUUAAAAUUAAAUUACAAACCAUUUUAUUUAGCUCAGUUUUUAUUGCAGUUCAUUUGCCUUUCUGGGGAUUGUCAAUCAAACGGCUACGAAGCUCCCGCCCCUUUAUCAAGCAUCACACAGUUACCAUUCCACACCCAGCCAACUUGGACACUGGUUAAGAGCUUUAACCUUCAGGCCAUACAAUUGCCUGGCGCUAGGCAUGGGAUCGCCUUAAAUGGUC